RNAcentral lists this long non-coding RNA (441 nucleotides) under Heterocephalus glaber (naked mole-rat). RNAcentral describes it as "lncRNA (ENSHGLG00000025751.2)". The record is from RNAcentral. Lineage: Eukaryota; Metazoa; Chordata; Mammalia; Rodentia; Bathyergidae.
CCUCCCUCCUGUAUGUUUCUCAAGUAGCCCAGAACAAUGAAUCAUAAUAGGGUUUUUUAUUUUAAGCUAAUUGUGAUUUUUUUCUUUUUAGGAUUUUUUUUUUUUUACUCCAGAUAUAGUCUAGGUAACAACAACAAUGAAAAAGGUGUCAUGGGGAGAAGAGCAGUGGGCGAAUCAAACUUGGAGUCUUGCACUUGCGCAGGAGGCGGCGAAACCACUGAGCUAAAUCCCCGGCCUGAUACAGAAUCAUAAAAUGAAUGAAGCACCUGAUGGUCAAGGAAGAGAAAAGAAGAUGAAAGGAUGAAUGCGUAUUUGUUUCAUAAUCACUAACAGGUGUUAAUAAAACGUAUUGUACAAUGCUCAAUUGUCAUGACAUUGAAAGGGAUCAGGUUCACCUGUUCAUUGUGAUAUAUUAUGUAGUUUCACUUCUUAAAAUGCAAC